GGGAGGGGAGAUCAGGGGGCGAGUGGGUGAGUCACGAGUGAGCAGCCUGCCCCUGGCUGUGGGACACCACUGGAAAGGGUGGCUAAUACCAGAAACUACCCGCACAUGCAUCUUGUGUGGGUGGAAUUUUUUUCGGCUGGGGGUGGGCUCGCGGUCUAUCUGCUUGUGGGGGGGGUGAUGGCCUACCAGAGCAACGACGGGUAGCCGGCGAGAGAGGGCGACCGCACACUGUGGGAGAGACACACCGCACACACUCCUGGGGGAGGCAUGGGGGGGAUAUAUUGCAGAGUGGGAGAAUGCGUGAUGCACCCACCCCGCGUGAGGAAUGACCGC
RNAcentral lists this ribosomal RNA (333 nucleotides) under Kineococcus sp. SBP1S. RNAcentral describes it as "partial 16S ribosomal RNA". It matches the Rfam family "Bacterial small subunit ribosomal RNA", at positions 80 to 415 of the family's 1533-position model. Lineage: Bacteria; Bacillati; Actinomycetota; Actinomycetes; Kineosporiales; Kineosporiaceae. The record is from RNAcentral.